AUCUUGCCUAAUUGAAGAAACACACCGAGAAAACCGAAGGCAUUAAUUGUGGUUCUAUUUGAUGGUAUUAAUUGCGGUUCUAUUUGAUGGUAGCUGGCGUACUUACAUUGUAUCGUCAAUCGUACAGUAGAUUCCUUAACAAUGAUGUGAUUAAGAGUGAAGAAAGAUUUUAUUGACGGAUUGAUAUUCUUAACAAAAUGACGACUAUUCAGCAUUG
Molecule: long non-coding RNA, 217 nt
Filed under: Mytilus galloprovincialis (Mediterranean mussel)
Lineage: Eukaryota; Metazoa; Mollusca; Bivalvia; Mytilida; Mytilidae
Source: RNAcentral